RNAcentral lists this ribosomal RNA (468 nucleotides) under uncultured bacterium. RNAcentral describes it as "partial 16S ribosomal RNA". It matches the Rfam family "Bacterial small subunit ribosomal RNA", at positions 28 to 507 of the family's 1533-position model. The record is from RNAcentral.
GACGAACGCUGGCGGCGUGCUUAACACAUGCAAGUCGAACGGAAAGGCCCUGCUUUUGUGGGGUGCUCGAGUGGCGAACGGGUGAGUAACACGUGAGUAACCUGCCCUUGACUUUGGGAUAACUUCAGGAAACUGGGGCUAAUACCGGAUAGGAGCUCCUGCUGCAUGGUGGGGGUUGGAAAGUUUCGGCGGUUGGGGAUGGACUCGCGGCUUAUCAGCUUGUUGGUGGGGUAGUGGCUUACCAAGGCUUUGACGGGUAGCCGGCCUGAGAGGGUGACCGGCCACAUUGGGACUGAGAUACGGCCCAGACUCCUACGGGAGGCAGCAGUGGGAAAUAUUGCACAAUGGGCGGAAGCCUGAUGCAGCAACGCCACGUGCGGGAUGACGGCCUUCGGGUUGUAAACCGCUUUCGCCUGUGACGAAGCGUGAGUGACGGUAAUGGGUAAAGAAGCACCGGCUAACUACGUG